RNAcentral lists this ribosomal RNA (164 nucleotides) under uncultured bacterium. Its description in RNAcentral is "partial 16S rRNA". It matches the Rfam family "Bacterial small subunit ribosomal RNA", at positions 355 to 511 of the family's 1533-position model. The record is from RNAcentral.
UAGGGAAUCUUCCACAAUGGACGCAAGUCUGAUGGAGCAACGCCGCGUGAGUGAAGAAGGUCUUCGGAUCGUAAAACUCUGUUGUUAAAGAAGAACACGUAUGAGAGUAACUGUUCAUACGUUGACGGUAUUUAACCAGAAAGUCACGGCUAACUACGCGCCAG